CACAUGCAAGUCGAACGAUGAAGGAGGAGCUUGCUCCUCUGGAUUAGUGGCGAACGGGUGAGUAACACGUGAGCAAUCUGCCCUUGACUCUGGGAUAAGCGCUGGAAACGGCGUCUAAUACCGGAUACGACCCUCGGAGGCAUCUCCUGUGGGUGGAAAGAACUUCGGUCAAGGAUGAGCUCGCGGCCUAUCAGCUUGUUGGUGAGGUAAUGGCUCACCAAGGCGACGACGGGUAGCCGGCCUGAGAGGGUGACCGGCCACACUGGGACUGAGACACGGCCCAGACUCCUACGGGAGGCAGCAGUGGGGAAUAUUGCACAAUGGGCGCAAGCCUGAUGCAGCAACGCCGCGUGAGGGACGACGGCCUUCGGGUUGUAAACCUCUUUUAGCAGGGAAGAAGCGAGAGUGACGGUACCUGCAGAAAAAGCACCGGCUAACUACGUGCCAGCAGCCGCGGUAAUACGUAGGGUGCAAGCGUUGUCCGGAAUUAUUGGGCGUAAAGAGCUCGUAGGCGGUCU
This 518-nucleotide ribosomal RNA is filed under the name Agrococcus lahaulensis. Its description in RNAcentral is "bacterial SSU rRNA". It matches the Rfam family "Bacterial small subunit ribosomal RNA", at positions 52 to 581 of the family's 1533-position model. The record is from RNAcentral. Lineage: Bacteria; Bacillati; Actinomycetota; Actinomycetes; Micrococcales; Microbacteriaceae.